UUUUUGAUAAUGAUUUAAAGUCAAAUYUGCUCCAUGAUUAUAAUUAAAUAGCCGCAGUAUCUUGACUGUGCAAAGGUAGCAUAAUCAAUAGUUUUUUAAUUGAAAGCUGGAAUGAACGAUUUAAUAAGGUAAAUAUUGUCUCAUAUUUAAUAAAAUUAGAAUUUUUUUUUUUGUUAAAAAACAAAAUUAAUUUUAAAAGACGAGAAGACCCUAUAGAAUUUUAUAUUUAAAAUAAAAUUAAUUUAAAUUAAUUAAUAUUAAUUUUAUGGGAAAAUAUUUGAUUGGGGAAAUUUAUAAAUUUAAAAAACUUUAUAAUUUUAUAUAAAUAAUCAUUUAAGUUGAUAUAAAUGAAUAUACUAUAGUUUUAGGAAGUUUGAUCUUAAAUAUAAAUCAAUAGAAUAAAUUACCUUAGGGAUAACAGCGUAAUUUUUUUGGUGAGUUCUUAUCAAUAAAAAAGUUUGCGACCUCGAUGUUGAAUUAAGAUUUAAUUUUAAUGAAGAAGUWAAAAAUUUUUASYCUGUUCGACUAUUAAAAUCUUACGUGAUC
RNAcentral lists this ribosomal RNA (546 nucleotides) under Stenarella victoriae. RNAcentral's name for it is "partial 16S large subunit ribosomal RNA". The stretch from base 414 to 546 matches the Rfam family "Archaeal large subunit ribosomal RNA", at positions 2544 to 2676 of the family's 2987-position model. Lineage: Eukaryota; Metazoa; Arthropoda; Insecta; Hymenoptera; Ichneumonidae. The record is from RNAcentral.